RNAcentral lists this ribosomal RNA (496 nucleotides) under uncultured bacterium. RNAcentral's name for it is "partial 16S ribosomal RNA". It matches the Rfam family "Bacterial small subunit ribosomal RNA", at positions 29 to 507 of the family's 1533-position model. The record is from RNAcentral.
ACGCACGCUGGCGGCGUGCCUCAUACAUGCAAGUAGCACGCUGAAGAGAGGAGCUUGCUCUUCUUGGAUGAGUUGCGAACGGGUGAGUAACGCGUAGGUAACCUGCCUUGUAGCGGGGGAUAACUAUUGGAAACGAUAGCUAAUACCGCAUAACAAUGGAUGACACAUGUCAUUUAUUUGAAAGGGGCAAUUGUUCCACUACAAGAUGGACCUGCGUUGUAUUAGCUAGUAGGUGAGGUAAUGGCUCACCUAGGCGACGAUACAUAGCCGACCUGGGAGGGUGAUCGGCCACACUGGGAAUGAGACACGGCCCAGACUCCUACGGGAGGCAGCAGUAGGGAAUCUUCGGCAAUGGGGGCAACACUGACCGAGCAACGCCGCGUGAGUGAAGAAGGUUUUCGGAUCGUAAAGCUCUGUUGUAAGUCAAGAACGGGUGUGAGAGUGGAAAGUUCACACUGUGACGGUAGCUUACCAGAAAGGGACGGCUAACUACGUG